UACGGAGGGUGCAAGCGUUAUCCGGAUUCACUGGGUUUAAAGGGUGCGUAGGAGGGCAGGUAAGUCAGGGGUGAAAUCUCCAAGCUUAACUUGGAAACUGCCGUUGAUACUAUCUGUCUUGAAUAUUGUGGAGGUGAGCGGAAUAUGUCAUGUAGCGGUGAAAUGCUUAGAUAUGACAUAGAACACCAAUUGCGAAGGCAGCUCACUACUCAAUCAUUGACUCUGAGGCACGAAAGCGUGGGGAUCAAACAGG
This 253-nucleotide ribosomal RNA is filed under the name uncultured bacterium. Its description in RNAcentral is "partial 16S ribosomal RNA". It matches the Rfam family "Bacterial small subunit ribosomal RNA", at positions 524 to 776 of the family's 1533-position model. The record is from RNAcentral.